This 1994-nucleotide unclassified non-coding RNA is filed under the name Leguminivora glycinivorella. RNAcentral's name for it is "uncharacterized LOC125241899, transcript variant X1". Lineage: Eukaryota; Metazoa; Arthropoda; Insecta; Lepidoptera; Tortricidae. The record is from RNAcentral.
ACUGGAAAGAGAAAAGCUGAUAACUUAGGUGAAAUACCAAAUCCUACUACAAAGAAACCAAAAACUUGUUCCAGUAAUGAGAAAACAAAGAAGAAAACACAAAACCUAAAUAAGGAUUUAAAUGAGUUUGAAUUUGUAAAGUCACAAUAUCCUGUUAAGAAGUCUGUCCCUGCUAAGCCUAAGGAAAAAUUGAUUUCUAAAUCUUCUGGUGCUCCAGACCUACUCUGUAGUAUUCAGGAGAAAAAAAUUGCACAAUCCCAGUCAGUUCAAGCUCCAAGCCCAGAGCCACAGGCAGAACCUGAACAGCAAGAGAACUCGGAGCUGACUACCGAUGACAAAUGGGACAUAACUUCAAUUAUAUCAACAUGUAAUAAUGACAGUGUCAGUGAAACUUACACAGAUGAUGAAAUAUUCAGAGUUGGCAUGGAUGGUACAAAGAGUAAACCACAGGAAAAACAUGCCUCCAAAAAAAAUAAAAAUGAACCAAUAAAAAAUGUUGCCAAUAAACCUGAAACCAAGAAAGCUGAAGAUAAUGCAAAUUCAAUAAAUAAUAAAAAUAUCAAAGAUCUUGGUGAAACGCAUAGCAUAAAAUGUAGGAAUGUAGGGAACACCAAGCCUCAAAUUGAUAGACAUGUCAAAAACCAUGCUAAUGCAAAUGAUAAUACUGGUGUUGGUAAUAUAAAAACCACCAAUAAAAAAAAUUCCAAAGAUAAUGAGCAAUGUAAACAAACUAACAAAAUUGUUAAAAAUGCAAGUGAUAUGAAACUGGCAAAUAACAAAAUUUUUAAAGAUAUUGGCAAUAUAACAACAGCAAAUAACACAAAUGUCAAAGAUAUUAAUGUACUGAAGCUUACAAAAUAUAAAAUUGUCAAAGAUGAUGGAAAACUGUUAAAUAGCAAAGAUGUCAGCAGGAAUCCCUUGAGUAACAAAAAAUAUGGAGACCUAGAUAAUAAGCAAAAUGUAAAUAAUAUAAAUAAGAUAGACGUUAACACAAUGGUUCAAGCUGCUCCCAGAAUGGAUACUCCUGUGAAAGUUUGUCCCGCCAUGAGGGCGAUGCUGAGCCGCAGCAGCCGCAUCGACGCCUUCUGGGACACGGACGACAGCGACCACGAGACCGCCGCGCGCCGACACGCGCCCCCCUCGCUACCUUAUCACCAUGCAGACUUGACGCAGAAUCAGGGAACCAAUCCCAAGCAAAGUGGCCCUGGCAGCCAGCAUGCUUCAUCGACGAAACUUACGAAAGCGAACAAAACUCUAGCAGUAAUUCCUGAAAAAAUGGUUAAAAAUAAUAAUGACACACCAAACACGUCACUAAAGACAAGAAGACGAAUAAACCUAUCAGGGUGGCUAGCCAAAUGGCACAACGCUCACGAAACGCUCACGAAACGAAGCGCUAGUAGAUAUCUAUCUCUAUCGCGCUUGCGUAUUGGCGCGACAGAGCCAGCGGCGUAUCUCUUUCGUUUGGCGUCGGAGAAAUGCCAUUCGGCUACGGGGCCAGACGCGUUAGAAUCUGCUAAUAAUUCAGACCUCAAAGAAAAUAUACCGAUUAAAACAAAAGUUCAAAAGAAACAAAAGACUGAAAAAAAAGUAACACAGGAUGAAAAUAAUAAGACUAAAGCAACCGAAACCACAAAGAGUAGAAAAAAAAAGGGAAAAGUUUAACAGAUGACUCUAAAAAUCGAGUAGAAACCCCAACAAGCCAAAGUAAAACUACUAAAGUACAAAAACCUGCUGAACAAAUGAAAAUUGAUAUUUGCAAAGUUUUGAGAUCACGCAACAUUGACCUGUCAUCUUCGUUUAAUUCUGACAAAUUUGAACUAACAAUGACUCGUGGAAGAAAAUCUCGAACGCCAAGCAAAAGAAUAUCUUUCAAUAAGUCGAAAAAUGUGCUGGUCAAUAACAAAAUCAGAAAUAGAGCAACCAAGUCGUGAGGUACACGAACAGUUAGGUAAUGCACCUGUCGAAACCGAGCGGAUAUUCGCAGCAUACGCUUC